Molecule: ribosomal RNA, 464 nt
Filed under: uncultured bacterium
Lineage: Bacteria
Description: bacterial SSU rRNA
Rfam family: Bacterial small subunit ribosomal RNA
Source: RNAcentral
AGUGAACGCUGGCGGCGUGCUUAACACAUGCAAGUCGAACGAGAACGGAUUAUAGCUUGCUAUAAUUGUCAGCUAAGUGGCGCACGGGUGAGUAAUAUAUAGAUAACCUGCCCUCUAGAAAGGAAUAACAGUUGGAAACGACUGCUAAUGCCCUAUAUGCCUUUAAUACAUAAGUAUGCAAGGGAAACGCUUUAGUGCUAGAGGAUGGGUCUGUAUGGUAUCAGCUUGUUGGUGAGGUAAUGGCUCACCAAGGCUAUGACGCCUAACUGGUUUGAGAGGAUGAUCAGUCACACUGGAACUGAGACACGGUCCAGACUCCUACGGGAGGCAGCAGUGGGGAAUAUUGCACAAUGGACGAAAGUCUGAUGCAGCAACGCCGCGUGGAGGAUGACACAUUUCGGUGCGUAAACUCCUUUUAUAUAGGAAGAUAAUGACGGUACUAUAUGAAUAAGCACCGGCUAACU